This 935-nucleotide long non-coding RNA is filed under the name Pan troglodytes (chimpanzee). RNAcentral's name for it is "lncRNA (ENSPTRG00000053624.1)". Lineage: Eukaryota; Metazoa; Chordata; Mammalia; Primates; Hominidae. The record is from RNAcentral.
CUUUGGGGUUUUUUAGUACUAUCUGGUUUUGUUAUCAAAGUAAUUCUAUGAUCACAAAAUUAACUGGCAUAGUAUCCUUUCUGCCUUAUUCUUUUGGUCAAGUCAUCAGAGCCAGGAUCAAGGGGAGAGCACAUAGAGUGCAAAGAACUUUGGGGCCACAUUUAAAGCCACCAUAAAAUUCAAUUAGGCAUUCUGAAUUAUGACUCAAAAGGCAUUAUUUCAGGAACAAUUUAAUGGGGAAUAAUACUGUGCUUUCAGAACAUCACAGGCUAAACUUUUGGGUGGGGGCAGAAAGAAGGGAACCAUCUGCCUUUGUGGCUUGUCUGCAUUGUUUCUAUGGGAAAUGUGUUCUGAAUUCCUAAAACAAUGUGCAAACAAGCUUUUUUAACUCAACCCUUUGUUUGCUGUAUGAUGUUUCUUAAUUCUGAAAUGUAAAAAGCCAGUGGGGGUAAGUUGUACAAGGUGACUGGCAGGACCUGCUGGAGCUGAAAAGGAAUUGGAACUUCUUCUUCAUGGACUUCCAUCAUAGAAGCUAACGCCACAGAGGCUCAGUCGACUUUGUUCCUCUGCCUACCACCACCUCUGGGUUCUGGAACAGAAUAUCAGACCAAAUUCUGUCAUAGAUGGCAGUACAUGUGACAAUGCCAUCCUCAUGUCAGCAUGCCAGAUGCAGGCAUUGUCCUUAUCAGGAAGAACUGACCGGACCACACAGCAGCAACAGCAUCCCUCACAGUUGGCAUGCAGCUCUGAGGUUCUCAAACUCAGAACGACUGAAAAGAGGUGCCUCCUCGGUUGCAAGAAUUGAAGAAAGCUCUACUUCCCAGAUGCAAGACCAUGCUGCAAGGCUUAUCCAGUACUCCAGUUUCAGACAUGAGAGCGAAUCUACCCAGGACUAGAAGCCAUCAUCCUGAGGUCACAUCUCUGCCUCCUCACCC